This 357-nucleotide ribosomal RNA is filed under the name Citrobacter koseri. RNAcentral describes it as "bacterial SSU rRNA". It matches the Rfam family "Bacterial small subunit ribosomal RNA", at positions 108 to 468 of the family's 1533-position model. Lineage: Bacteria; Pseudomonadati; Pseudomonadota; Gammaproteobacteria; Enterobacterales; Enterobacteriaceae. The record is from RNAcentral.
GAGUAAUGUCUGGGAAACUGCCUGAUGGAGGGGGAUAACUACUGGAAACGGUAGCUAAUACCGCAUAACGUCGCAAGACCAAAGAGGGGGACCUUCGGGCCUCUUGCCAUCAGAUGUGCCCAGAUGGGAUUAGCUUGUUGGUGGGGUAACGGCUCACCAAGGCGACGAUCCCUAGCUGGUCUGAGAGGAUGACCAGCCACACUGGAACUGAGACACGGUCCAGACUCCUACGGGAGGCAGCAGUGGGGAAUAUUGCACAAUGGGCGCAAGCCUGAUGCAGCCAUGCCGCGUGUAUGAAGAAGGCCUUCGGGUUGUAAAGUACUUUCAGCGGGGAGGAAGGUGUUGUGGUUAAUAACC